UUUCAAAACAAGAAGACAAAGCCAAAACGCUUCCGUUUUGGACCAAACACUUCUUGUUCGUGUCCCCUCCUCUUCCCAAGUUCUUGAUUUUGCUCACAAUCUCCAAACACUCGGCAUACUCCUCACGCGCCGCUGCGUUUUGCAAUCUCCGACUUAUCUCCACCGCAUCACGCGGCGUCAACAGCACGCGCGGUGACUGAAUCCGCUCUA
Long non-coding RNA from Arabidopsis thaliana (thale cress), 210 nucleotides. RefSeq annotates it as other RNA. The record is from RefSeq. NCBI's taxonomy places the organism in Eukaryota, Viridiplantae, Streptophyta, Magnoliopsida, Brassicales, Brassicaceae. The transcript has a single exon.